RNAcentral lists this ribosomal RNA (292 nucleotides) under uncultured Planctomycetota bacterium. Its description in RNAcentral is "uncultured planctomycete partial 16S ribosomal RNA". Lineage: Bacteria; Pseudomonadati; Planctomycetota. The record is from RNAcentral.
GGACUACAGGGGUUUCUAAUCCCGUUCGCUCCCCUGGCUUUCGUGCCUCAGCGUCAGUUAGGGUCCAGCUCGCCGCCUUCGCCACCGGAGUUCCUGUGCAUAUCAACGCAUUUCACCGCUCCACGCACAGUUCCGCAAGCCCCUACCCCACUCGAGGUCGCCAGUAUCCACGGCAGUUCUCCGGUUGAGCCGGAGGAUUUCACCACAGACUUGGCAACCAGCCUACGCACCCUUUAAGCCCAGUGAUUCCGAAUAACGUUCGCACGGUUCGUCUUACCGCGGCGGCUGGCAC